Long non-coding RNA from Centruroides sculpturatus (bark scorpion), 256 nucleotides. RefSeq lists it as uncharacterized. The record is from RefSeq and is a predicted model, not a curated record. Lineage: Eukaryota; Metazoa; Arthropoda; Arachnida; Scorpiones; Buthidae. The transcript is spliced from 2 exons.
GAUCAAUCAAAAACAGUUAGUUGGCAAUUUUGUUUUGGAGAUUUUGCAAUAAAGGACAGAGAUGGAUUUCAUGUUGAUGAUGAUAAAUGUGAAUUACCUUCUACCUUGCUGUAUCAGUUAACCAUAUACAACAUUAUGUAUUUGUUGGAAGUUAUGAAGCUACUUUAACUCACCUUGUAUAUUUUUGAUGGUCACUUGUCUCAACAAAUUAGUGAAUGACUUUUGUAUGUUUUCAGUAAAAUAUCUUUUGUGAUAA